GGAGAUUAGGGGUCGUGUUUGAGAGCUGGAAGAUUGUGAGACUGAAAGAUUGAGAUUAAGGUUUAGCGUUUUUCUUCUUUAUGAUUAGUUUUUUCCUUCUCUUGUUUGUAUUUUACUUUAUUAUUAAUUUAUAGCUUUAGUUUUACUUAAUUUUAUUUUUUCAAUUAAGUUCUAAUUUAAUUUGAUUUUAUUAUGAUAUAAUUUUGUUUUUAUUUUACCAAUUAAAUUUUAAUUUUGUUUUAGUUUAGUUUUAUUAAUUUAGUGAAAU
RNAcentral lists this long non-coding RNA (268 nucleotides) under Lathyrus oleraceus (garden pea). RNAcentral's name for it is "Pisum sativum (pea) long non-coding RNA (PSAT_LNC031430)". Lineage: Eukaryota; Viridiplantae; Streptophyta; Magnoliopsida; Fabales; Fabaceae. The record is from RNAcentral.